UCUUGGAAUUUUGGGGGAAUUUUGGGAUAAUUUUGGGGAAUUUUGGGAUUUUGGGGAAUUUUGGGAAUUUGGGGGGAUUUUAGGGAUUUUUUGGGGAAAUUUGGGGAGAUUUUGGGGAAUUUUGUGGGGAUUUUUUGGGGGCUUUUCUCGGAUUUUUGGGGAAUUUUGGGGGGGAUUUUGGGAUUUUUGGGAUUUUUUGGGGAAAUUUGGGGGAUUUUUGGGGGAUUUGGGGGAAUUUUUGUGAUUUUGGGGUUUUUGGGGUCCCUCUUUCCCAUUUUGGGGUCCCCAACAACUUUUGGGGCUCCUGGGUUGGGAUUUUGGGGUGAUUUUGGUGGAUUUUGGGUGGAUUUGGGUGAAUUUUGAUCAUUCCUGGGUCGAUUUUCGCGGGAAUUUUGGGAAUUUCUGGGAAUUUUGGGGGAAUUUUUGGGAUUUUGGGGUUUUUGGGGUCCCUCUUUUUAAUUUUGGGGUCCCCAACAACUUUUGGGGCUCCUGGGUUGGGAUUUUGGGGAUUUUGGGGGGAUUUUGGGGGGAUUUUUUAGGGGAUUUUGGGAUUUUUUUUACUUUUUUUGAGGAUUUUUGGGGAGAAUUCGGGGGAUUUUGGGAAAAUUUGGGAUUUUUGGGAUUUGGGGAAUUUUUUGGGAAUUUUUUGGAUUUUUUGGGGAUUUUUGGGGAUUUUUUGGGGAAUUUUUGGGGGGAUUUUUGAUGAAUAUUUUGAAAUUUUGGGGGGAAUUUUGGGAAUUUUUGGGAGAUUUUUUGGGAAUUUUUUGGGGAUUUUGGGGGAAUUUUUGGGAUUUGGGAAAAUUUGGAUUUUGGGGAAUUUUGGGGUUUUUUUGGGGUUUUUUUGGGUCAUUUUUAUGAUUUUUUUCCCCAUUUUUUCUCCUAUUUUCCCCAUUUUUGGGCCGUUUUUCCCCGGGUUUUUUUUGGGAAUUCAGGAAUUCUGGGAACUCCAAAAAAUUCCAGGAAUUCCGGGAUAAUUUUGGGAUAAAUCUGGAAUUUUUUGGGGAUAAUUUGGAAUUUUUUGGGGUCAUUUUUAUGAUUUUUUCCCCAUUUUUCCUCGGAUUUUCCCCAUUUUUGGGCCGUUUUUCCCCGGGUUUUUUUUGGGAAUUCGGGAAUUCCUGGAAUUCCUGGAAUUCCAGGAUAAUUUUGGGAUAAUUUCAGGAUUUUUUGGGGAUAAUUUGGAAUUUUUUGCGUCAUUUUUAUGAUUUUUUUCCCCAUUUUUCCUCGGAUUUUCCCCAUUUUUGGGCCGUUUUUCCCCGGGUUUUUUUUGGGAAUUCGGGAAUUCUGGGAAUUCCAAAAAAUUCCUGGAAUUCCGGGAUAAUUUUGGGAUAAUUUCAGGAUUUUUUGGGGAUAAUUCAGAAUUUUUUGGGUCAUUUUUAUGAUUUUUUUCCCAUUUUUUUCUCCUAUUUUCCCCAUUUUUGGGCCGUUUUUCCCCGGGUUUUUUUUGGGAAUUCGGGAAUUCUGGGAAUUCCAAAAAAUUCCAGGAAUUCCAGGAUAAUUUUGGGAUAAUUUCAGGAUUUUUUGGGAUUAAUUCAGAAUUUUUUGGGGUCAUUUUUAUGAUUUUUUUUCCCAUUUUUUCUCGGAUUUUCCCCAUUUUUGGGCCGUUUUUCCCCGGGUUUUUUUUGGGAAUUUGGGAAUUUCGGGAAUUCCCAUGAAUUUUGGGAUAAUUCGGGAUAAUUUUGGGGAAUAAUUUCUCUAAAAUUUGG
Cyanistes caeruleus (blue tit) is the source of this 1703-nucleotide long non-coding RNA. NCBI's taxonomy places the organism in Eukaryota, Metazoa, Chordata, Aves, Passeriformes, Paridae. The record is from Ensembl.